CAGCAGCCGCGGUAAUACGUAGGUGGCAAGCGUUGUCCGGAAUUAUUGGGCGUAAAGGGCUCGCAGGCGGUUUCUUAAGUCUGAUGUGAAAGCCCCCGGCUCAACCGGGGAGGGCCAUUGGAAACUGGGAAACUUGAGUGCAGAAGAGGAGAGUGGAAUUCCACGUGUAGCGGUGAAAUGCGUAGAGAUGUGGAGGAACACCAGUGGCGAAGGCGACUCUCUGGUCUGUAACUGACGCUGAGGAGCGAAAGCGUGGGGAGCGAACAGGAUUAGAUACCCCCGUAGUCCCUGUCUCUUAUAC
This 301-nucleotide ribosomal RNA is filed under the name uncultured bacterium. Its description in RNAcentral is "partial 16S ribosomal RNA". It matches the Rfam family "Bacterial small subunit ribosomal RNA", at positions 509 to 807 of the family's 1533-position model. The record is from RNAcentral.